CGCCCCCAACUUUCUCCGCAGCCCCCGCCAGCGCCUCGUCCCCACCUACUCACCAGGUCCCAUGUGAUGUUGCUCCUCCGCGCUGCCGUCCUCCCCAUUCUGAACUGCCACUGGCCGCCGGCUUGAUCUUCACCAAGUCACCAUCCCCCCUGUUCUCCACUACCAUCCGUGGCCGCGCUAUCCUGCUGACAUCCUCUGCUACCUCCGCCUAGGUUACACCACCAUUAGCUCUUCCCGCUGGCAUCCUCCUCUGCACCAAGUUGCUGCGGUUUGCAACCAGUGAAAAUGCUAUUCGGCAAGUCCACUGCAGCAGUUAGCUAGAAACGAAGAUGAAGCUUCUUUGUGGGGGCUCAGUUGCUGCUCUAAAUCGAACAAUUUGGAGGAGGAAUGCGUGAGAAACAAGUCUCCCAACGAUGACAAGGGUAUGACCGGCGACAACGAGUAGGUGGCACGUGUACCACAGCGACAAGACUGAGGUAUGAAGCAGAUGUGUGUGGUGAGCUCUCGUUUCAUUAGUUCAAGUGCUUACACCUUAUAAAGUUCAGAGAAAAAACAUUAUGUUGCUUAUUGCUCGGCCCUAUAAGGAGCGAGCGGAGGAAUUCCCACCUAAUCUACCUUGUCCCUCGACCUGAUCCUCAACACCGGCCCGCCACUGCGAACUCUCCUCCCACAAUCUGCCGCCAGUGCCUCCCCCUCCCCCAGCGCGUCGCCGCGGCCCCUCCUGUCCCAGCGCGUCGACAGGGCCUCCCCCUCCCCCAGUGCGCCGUCGGGGCCUCCCCCUCCCCGCAGCGCACCGCCGUGGCAUUUGUCCAUCACACAAACAGAGUGUGAGGUACCAAAGAACGUCAGGCAGGAGGAUUUUGGAAGAAAUGACAGAGAAAGUUCGAAAAGAGUAGUCUUGGAAGUACAAGGGCAAAAGUUACUGGGUUCAAGAAAAACGAAAAUUACUUGCAUCAGCUCGUCGGAAUUGGUGUGUGUGCUUGUAACACAAUCAGUUCAGAUAUCGAGAGACCAUAAGUUUAUUGACAAAUAUGUAUAUUAGUUCAUGUCUCAAGAGUCCAUAAUUUUGUAAGGCCAAAAAAUACAAUGGCUUAGUACAUCACAGCAGCUCUUUGAUGCAGAAAGGAUGGCUCUUCUCAAGUCAGCAGCUAACCAAACUGUCAACUUUGGGGUAGCUCAGUCAAUAUAGGAGUUGUGCAGUAAACAGCUUCAGUCGAGAAAUCAGCAAGUUGUAGUGCAUAGUGUCUUCCAGGCACCUGUCCUAAUUCCUAAAAUAUUCUACUCAACUUCAGCGCCAUGCUCAGUCCAACCACAUGGCUUCAGGGUGCCCGAGUUCGUCGCCACCAUCAGUUCGGAGACUCUGCCACUGCGUGUGUCGCGACCAUGUCCACCUGCGUCACUGCGUGCUCCGUUAACAGCCUCCCGCGCAAGGAAAAGCAACAGGAGUAGAGCCGUCUAAGAUGCUCUGUUCUAGCGAGGUGGCUUAUUAUGUUUGUCAAUUUGUAGUACUUUGGCCGCAGUGUACUUGUGUAUCUUUUUCUGAACGGAGCACGACAGAGAUUAUGUCAUUAUGAACUUUGAUUGUGAUGGUACUACAAACUCUAUAAAAACACCAGUAAUCCAUUUUUACUGUUACUUAUCUUUUAUACAAUUCAUAUGGAUUGUGC
RNAcentral lists this ribosomal RNA (1667 nucleotides) under Triticum aestivum (bread wheat). RNAcentral describes it as "partial small subunit ribosomal RNA". The record is from RNAcentral. Lineage: Eukaryota; Viridiplantae; Streptophyta; Magnoliopsida; Poales; Poaceae.